RNAcentral lists this long non-coding RNA (346 nucleotides) under Glycine max (soybean). Its description in RNAcentral is "long non-coding RNA (GMAX_LNC000195)". Lineage: Eukaryota; Viridiplantae; Streptophyta; Magnoliopsida; Fabales; Fabaceae. The record is from RNAcentral.
UAGACUGCUACCAAAAUGAAGAAACAUAAGCAAAGCAUGGAACGAACCAAUGAUUGUUUCAAGCUUGGGGGAAUUCGUAAUUCAUUACAAUUUACAUGUGUGUCGUACUCUCAAUCCCUUUGAUGAAUGAAAUACUUUUUUUGAGCAUUUGCAAUCGAAAAUGAUUGAUCCUUGCUUGGUUAGGGGUAUACUGUGGGUGAGAAAAAACAAUGAUAUUCUCUCAUCUUUGUUCUGUUUUAUGUUAUCCAGGUUAUUUUGGUGGUUGCUAUGUCAGUGCUCUGUUGGGUGCCAAAAUAAUUAGAUUCAAAUUUUCGGUUUUUCUUUUUUGUUAAUUAUGGUUUUUGAU